AAUGGAUGAAAUAUGAAGUUUUAUUAAAAGAAAAAGGGUGAAAAGAACAAAGUUUUGUCCAUCUUUGUUCAUCAUAGCUGAAAGUUAGAGAAGAGAAAGGAGAGGAGAAAGCUCUUGAGUAUUCGGUCAUUAGGAGGAGGAAAAUUCAAGGUAAGUUCUUGGUACCUUGCUUCUAUUUUGAGGUUCAUGAGUUCUUCUUGAUUCUACCUUAACUCUUGAAGUAUAUUUUGAUUUUUAGUUGUGUUGUGAGCAUUUAGUCAUGAAUUAAAAUGAAGGAAAUGAUUGUGUUUUCAUGUUCUUUUGAUGAAAAAUGGAAGAUAGGUGAAGUUGAGCCAAACAAAUGAACAUGCAUGUGCCUUAGAUGCUAAAGGGAAAAAUCAGCUAACAUGUUGUGCUUUAAAAUGAUGAAAUGGAGAUUAUACUUAAGUAAAAUCAUAGAUAUGUGAUGAUUGAUUGGUGAUAUACAUGUUUAAAUAACAAGCAUGCAAGUUAGGUGUGAAAGAGUGAUUUGGUGAUAAAUCUGCUUGGGACAGCAGCAGUAAUGUGACUUUGGAAAAUCACCAUAAAUUGUGGGAGAUGAGUUAGAAGCUGAAUAAAUUAUGUAAUUAAAGCUUAUUGAGUCUAGUUUCUAAUGAAAUAAACAAGAACAUAUUUUGAAUUCUGUACAAUGAGAAGUUUGAUUCGUAAUGAAGAGUGGUCAGAUUAGUCAAACAGUGAAACAUGGGAAACUUUAAGAAAAAUCUGGUAUUGAUUGGUCAUACCAAAAAUUCUGAAAAUUUUAUGGAUAAAAGAUAUAUGAGUCUAUUUUCAAGGAAAACUAACGGCACUUGAUUUGGAGUUUCGUAGCACCAAUUAUAAAUAAUUUAGUGACUGUUGCUCAGGAAGACAGCUUGCAGUGAAAUUAUGAUUAUGUGGUAAACAUUGACAAAAAUUUGUUAAUGAGUUGCUUAUUGAUUUCUUAUAAGCUUACUAUGAUCUGUAGGUGUGGUUGGCCGAAUAUUGUAAGGGGUUAAUACGUAGUUUGUAUUUGAAUAGUUAGAUUAACGUGUUAGUAAUCCAAUUGUAGGCGGUUCGUGUGUGGAUCUCGUCAGCAUAUCGUCGCAAACAGGUGUGUAACUGACACCCUCUCAUAGACUAGAUUGGCAAAAGCCAAAAUGCCGAAAUGCUGAAAAGUAGGUAUUUUGGGAAUUUGUGAGUGUGCGAAUGCUCGUAAGAUAGUUGGGUUUGUAUAUUUGGUAAUCUAAAGUAAUAAACUGCAGUACGCGCGAUUUCGUACAUUUUGAUAAUUUGGGCUUAAUGGGCCAAAGAUCGGGUUCAUGGGCCAACGGGCCCAAUUCAGUAAGUAUGUGCGGUAAGUGUUCUGAUAGUACGUAAAUAGUUAGGAUAUGCAUGAAAACCCUAAAAGUAGCUAAAUUACUAUAAUACCCCUAUGUAUGGAAAAUUACUGUUAUACCCCUAGGUGCAAAAUUACCGUUAUACCUCUAGGGUUAAUUUUGACUGAAAAGCAUGACGAUCUGAUUCUGUAUGAUGUAUGCCAUGAUUAUAUAUCUGUUGCAUGGGGACAUGGGUUAUAUUAUGGAGGAAGCGUUCUGGUGGCUAUGCCACAAAUAUCUGAUCUAGUGGCUCUGCCACAUAUAUCUGUUCUGGUGGCUCUGCCACGAUUAUCUGUAUCUGGUGACUCUGUCAUAUUAUCUGUUCUAGUAGCCAUGCUGCAAAUUCUGUGGUGUGUAGCGGUGGGUGGGUCGAGUUGUCUCCCCACACGGUGUAAGGUUGGUAUGGGGGUGUAUACGGUUGGAUAUGGUUGGGUUUCUGCAUAAACAUGUAAUAUCUGUUCUGUUCUGUUAUGGGCCUAUGGGUUUUAUUCUGAAUUCUGUUCUGGGCUAAGGCCAACUUAUUAUGUUUCUGUGGGUUGAGCUGAUUUAGACUAUGAUUCGGUUAUUUUACACACUGAGUUUCCCCAAACCCACCCCUUUUAUUUUCAUCCAAGCAGGUAAUCCCCAACCAUAGUGGGCUUGGAGCUGUAAGGGAAUUCGGAGUGGCCACCCGUUCUGAAAGUUUGAUUUUCUUCUGGUGAACUGAACAUCCUUUUAUUUACGUUUGAAGUUUUGGGUUUUUAAAUGUAAUAAGGCCGCUUAAUUAUUUUUGAUGGUUUUAAUAUGUAUUACUAAGAUAGGUAUUACUUAUUUUAACUGUUGAAAUUGGAUAGCUUUAGGGCGCGUUUUCAAAAACAACAAUUGAUUUCAAAAUAACACGACAACAAGCAAAGCUUCCGCAAUGAAAGUAUUUUUCAAAAUUAAUCAGUUUUCUUAAAAAUGACUUAAUCAAAUUAGUUUCCUAGAAAUAUCCAUGACGUUAAGGUGUGGCAAUGGUGGUAUGCAUGUCUAGGAUUGGAUCCGAAGGGAGCUUGGUACUUAAGCAGUCCGAUGGACUCACCACCUCUUUUUCGGUUUCCUACCUGGUGCACAGCUUCCAUUCACCUUAACCCUUAAUGAAUUAAUCUUUUGAACAUCAAGUACGAUUUUCUGGACUUAGAAUGGAAAAUUUUUUUUUAACGUUUUUGAUGUGGCAUGCUGGAUCCGGCCAUAACUUCUGGGCCGAGUUUGGGGUGUUACACCCUUUGCAACAAACCUUGCUUUAUAUCUGGGUUCUUCAACUCCUAGAGCACAUUCUUUCUUUUUAAACACCCAUUUACAACGAAUAACCUUUUUACCUUUAGGAAGUUCCACAAGAUCCUAUGUUUUAUUUUUGUGGAGUGAUUCCAUCUCCUGUUGUAUAGCAAACAUCCACUUUUCUGAGUCUUCACAGCUAAUCGCCACAGAAUAAUUAGAUAGCUCUUGGUUUGCAUCUAUAUCUUUAGAUACAUUUAAAGCAUAAGCAACUAGAUCAGCCUCAGCAUACUUCUUUGGAGGUUUAAUUUCUCUUCUAGUUCUAUUUUUGGCGAUAGAGUAUUGUGGUGAAGAAGCAACUCUAUUCUAAAUUUUUGUACUAGCUUGAGGUUUAAUUUGAUGCUUCACUGCUUUUGAUUUUCUUUAUUGGAAGAGUCUUUAAGAGAUAAGUGAGAUAGCAUAGCAGUUUCACCAAAAACAACAUCUUUGCUAAUCAAAACUUUUCUAUUUUCAGGAUACCAUAACUUAUACCCUUUUACACAAGCUUUAUAACCAAGAAAAACACAUUUAAUGGAUCUCGGUUCCAAUUUUCCAUUAUCAACAUGAGCAUACACAAGACACCCAAAGAUCUUUAAAUUAGAAUAAUCAGCCGGAUUACCAGACCAUACCUCUUGUGGAGUCUUUUUCUCAAUGGCAACGGAUGGAGAUCGGUUGAUAAAAAACAUGCAGUAGAGGCUGCUUCGGCCCAAAACGACUUUAGUAAGUUGGAAUUUGACAACAUACAUCAAAUCUUCUCCAUGAUCGUUCUGUUCAUUCGUUCUACAAUGUCGUUUUGCUGUGGAGUAUGAUGAACUGUCAAGUGUCUCACAAUCCCUUCUGACUUGCACAGUUUAUUAAACUCAUCAGAACAGAACUCUAAGCCAUUGUCUGUGCGAAGGUAUUUUGUUUAUUUUCCCAUCUAUUUUUCAAUCAUAGUUUUCCAAUACUUAAAUGCGGAAAACACAUCGCUUUUCUUCUUCAGCAAGAACGCCCAAACUUUUCUGAAAAAAUCAUCAAUAAAAGUUAGCAUAUAAUUAGCUCCACCUCUCGAAGGCACUCUUGAUGACCCUCACAGAUCAGAAUGAAUAUACUUCAACGUUCUCUUCGUGUUAUGAAUUCUUCUGGUGAAUCAAACUCUCUUUUAUUUCCCAA
Molecule: long non-coding RNA, 3797 nt
Filed under: Gossypium barbadense (sea-island cotton)
Lineage: Eukaryota; Viridiplantae; Streptophyta; Magnoliopsida; Malvales; Malvaceae
Description: long non-coding RNA (GBAR_LNC009431)
Source: RNAcentral